RNAcentral lists this ribosomal RNA (253 nucleotides) under uncultured bacterium. Its description in RNAcentral is "partial 16S ribosomal RNA". It matches the Rfam family "Bacterial small subunit ribosomal RNA", at positions 524 to 776 of the family's 1533-position model. RNAcentral also lists the same sequence under 1 other name. The record is from RNAcentral.
UACAGGGGGCUCGAGCGUUAGUCGGAAUCACUGGGCUUAAAGGGUGCGUAGGCGGCUCGUCAAGUGUUUUGUGAAAUCCCACAGCUCAACUGUGGAACAGCAGGGCAAACUGACGAGCUUGAGGCAGGUAGGGGCCGGAAGAACAGUAGGUGGAGCGGUGAAAUGCGUAGAUAUCUACUGGAAUGCCGAUGGGGAAGCCGUCCGGCUGGGCCUGUCCUGACGCUGAGGCACGAAAGCGUGGGGAGCAAACAGG